CCAGUGGCAUAGCAGGGUAGCUAAGUUCGGAAGGGAUAAACGCUGAAAGCAUCUAAGCGUGAAGCCCCUCCCAAGAUGAGGAUUCUCUGGGGACUUGAUCCCCCUGAAGGGCCGUUGAAGACUACGACGUUGAUAGGCUGGAUGUGGAAGUACGGUAACGUAUGAAGCUAACCAGUACUAAUUGCCCGUGAGACUUGAUUCUAUAACCUUA
Molecule: ribosomal RNA, 211 nt
Filed under: Leucothrix sp.
Lineage: Bacteria; Pseudomonadati; Pseudomonadota; Gammaproteobacteria; Thiotrichales; Thiotrichaceae
Description: partial 23S ribosomal RNA
Rfam family: Bacterial large subunit ribosomal RNA
Source: RNAcentral